Molecule: ribosomal RNA, 466 nt
Filed under: uncultured bacterium
Lineage: Bacteria
Description: partial 16S ribosomal RNA
Rfam family: Bacterial small subunit ribosomal RNA
Source: RNAcentral
GACGAACGCUGGCGGUGUGCUUAACACAUGCAAGUCGAACGGUAAGGCCCUUUCGGGGGUACACGAGUGGCGAACGGGCGAGUAACACGUGAGUAACCUGCCCUCAUCUCUGGGAUAACAGUCGGAAACGGUUGCUAAUACUGGAUAUGAGCUUGCAAGGCAUCUUGUGGGUUGGAAAGAUUUUUUUGGUUGGGGAUGGACUCGCGGCCUAUCAGCUUGUUGGUGAGGUAGUGGCUCACCAAGGCUUCGACGGGUAGCCGGCCUGAGAGGGCGACCGGCCACAUUGGGACUGAGAUACGGCCCAAACUCCUACGGGAGGCAGCAGUGGGGAAUAUUGCACAAUGGACGGAAGUCUGAUGCAGCAACGCCGCGUGCGGGAUGACGGCCUUCGGGUUGUAAACCGCUUUCAAUUGUGACGAAGCUUUUUGUGACGGUAGUAGUAGAAGAAGCACCGGCUAACUACGUG